CGGCGCACGGGUGAGUAACACGUGGGUAAUCUACCCUUCGGCUCGGGAUAACAUCUCGAAAGGGGUGCUAAUACCGGAUACGUUCCUCGAGUCUCUGGGCUUGAGGAGGAAAGCUGGUUUUCGGAUUAUCACCGAAGGAUGAGCCCGCGUCCCAUCAGCUAGUUGGUAGGGUAACGGCCUACCAAGGCUACGACGGGUAGCUGGUCUGAGAGGAUGAUCAGCCACACUGGAACUGAGACACGGUCCAGACUCCUACGGGAGGCAGCAGUGGGGAAUUUUGGGCAAUGGGCGCAAGCCUGACCCAGCCACGCCGCGUGAGUGAUGAAGGCCUUCGGGUUGUAAAGCUCUGUCGGGAGGAACGAAUAAACUCGGCCAACACCCGAGACUGACGGUACCUCCAAAGGAAGCAACGGCUAACUCUGUGCCAGCAGCCGCGGUAAUACAGAGGUUGCGAGCGUUGUUCGGAAUUAUUGGGCGUAAAGCGCGUGUAGGCGGUCCGUUAUGUCGAAUGUGAAAGCCCUUGGCUUAACCAAGGAAGUGCAUCCGAAACUGGCGGACUUGAGUACCGGAGAGGGUGGCGGAAUUCCCGGUGUAGAGGUGAAAUUCGUAGAGAUCGGGAGGAACACCCGUGGCGAAGGCGGCCACCUGGACGGAUACUGACGCUGAGACGCGAAAGCGUGGGUAGCAAACAGGAUUAGAUACCCUGGUAGUCCACGCUGUAAACGAUGGUCACUAGCUGUCGCGGGUAUUGACCCCUGCGGUGGCGACGCUACGCAUUAAGUGACCCGCCUGGGGAGUACGGUCGCAAGACUAAAACUCAAGGAAUUGACGGGGGCCCGCACAAGCGGUGGAGCAUGUGGUUUAAUUCG
Molecule: ribosomal RNA, 869 nt
Filed under: uncultured bacterium
Lineage: Bacteria
Description: bacterial SSU rRNA
Rfam family: Bacterial small subunit ribosomal RNA
Source: RNAcentral